ACAACAUUCGGACCGUCGGUCUACCGAGCAAUAUCACUAGAUCGGUGGAAGAUCUUCCUUUUGUCAU
This 67-nucleotide microRNA precursor is filed under the name Bombyx mori (domestic silkworm). RNAcentral's name for it is "mir-2774 microRNA precursor family". It matches the Rfam family "mir-2774 microRNA precursor family". The record is from Rfam by way of RNAcentral. Lineage: Eukaryota; Metazoa; Arthropoda; Insecta; Lepidoptera; Bombycidae.